This 253-nucleotide ribosomal RNA is filed under the name uncultured bacterium. RNAcentral describes it as "partial 16S ribosomal RNA". It matches the Rfam family "Bacterial small subunit ribosomal RNA", at positions 524 to 776 of the family's 1533-position model. The record is from RNAcentral.
UACGUAGGGCGCAAGCGUUGUCCGGAAUUAUUGGGCGUAAAGAGCUCGUAGGCGGCUUGUCGCGUCGGUUGUGAAAGCCCGGGGCUUAACCCCGGGUCUGCAGUCGAUACGGGCAGGCUAGAGUUCGGUAGGGGAGAUCGGAAUUCCUGGUGUAGCGGUGAAAUGCGCAGAUAUCAGGAGGAACACCGGUGGUGUAGACGGCUCUCUGGACCGUAACUGACGCUGAGGCACGAAAGCGUGGGUAGCAAACAGG